This 1288-nucleotide long non-coding RNA is filed under the name Vulpes vulpes (red fox). RNAcentral's name for it is "lncRNA (ENSVVUG00000007285.1)". Lineage: Eukaryota; Metazoa; Chordata; Mammalia; Carnivora; Canidae. The record is from RNAcentral.
AACCUUUAAAUUCUAGAUUGUAGCAAUAAUGGAAGAGAUAGAAGACAUUUAUGUACAAAUACUAUUCCUUUUCCCAGCACCAAUAUACUUCUUUCUAUCACAGCUUCAGUUUAAAAGCAUUCAAGGAGUUUCUGAAGCCUACAGCUUGUGAAGAAGAGUGCCUCAUCUGCUGGAAGAACACACUUUACAUAAAAGAGGAUGAGAUUUGGAGAAUGAGAACAUUACUGGAGCCUGACGUGGGGGAAACCAACAAGCCAGGAAGGACGAAAUCAGUUGAGGGAGAUUUGAACCGCUACUCAAGUGUGCAGAGUACCAGGGAGAGCCCCAACAGGUCCUUGAGGAGGCAUCUAAGAACAACCCAAGCAAAUGCAAAUCCUGGAAGAGCAGCACAGACGUGGAGUGACUUAUCUCACCGACAGAGGCCAUUCCCGUGUCCUGGGUUCUGUUCCACGCCCUGCCCAUCUUUGCUGUGCUGUUACUGGCGUCGCUUCCACGUGGGCAGGCAGGAUCUCUCAAGGCCUGUUGUGGGCUUCUGUUGUUCACUUUACGUUCCUUGUGGACUGAAUACGGCGCAGAUGAAUUUGUUCCAGGAUCUCAAUUUUUCCCGGCAGUAUGUCAUGUUUGUGAUGACCCCCAGCCCUCACUUCAGUCAGCAAGGCCGAGUAGCUAGACAUGUUAGGUGUAGUAAUUGUGGAUUUACUAAAAUCCCACACACAUCAAAGGCUCCCUGAGAAGCUCUAAUAUGUGGUAAGGCCACGUUAUACACUGGUAUGAUUUCUGACAUUCUGUUUCUGUAAUAAUUUAAAAAACGAGAAAGCAAAGAAUUGCAGAAUGUUAUGUUUGACAAAAGACAAUGUAAUUUUCUUUUCUUUUAUUAGCAGCCCAAACAAGAUAUUGGGUAACAAUAUUGCCCACUAUCCUUUCUGCCAUUUGCAAGGGCAAAUGGAGCUUUUAAUGCAUUUUUAAAUCAUGAAAGUAAGAAUAUCAUAUAUAAAUAUAACUACAUAAUAUAAAAUUAUAUGCAUUUAAUACAAGUUAAAUUACAUAUAAAUAUAAAUAUUCUGCUUUAUAUGAAAGAAAGCUUUAGGGAUCCCUGGGUGGCGCAGCGGUUUGGCGCCUGCCUUUGGCCCAGGGCGCGAUCCUGGAGACCGGGAUCGAAUCCCGCGUCGGGCUCCCGGUGCAUGGAGCCUGCUUCUCCCUCUGCCUGUGUCUCUGCCUCUCUCUCUCUCUCUCUCUGUGACUAUCGUAAACAAAUAAAAAUUUAAAAAAAAAUUAAAAAAAAAAAAAA